This is a non-coding RNA of Trichonephila inaurata madagascariensis, 73 nucleotides long. The record is from the annotation of a GenBank genome assembly. NCBI's taxonomy places the organism in Eukaryota, Metazoa, Arthropoda, Arachnida, Araneae, Nephilidae.
GUCCCUGUAGCGUAAUGGAUACUGAGUUGAACUUCUGAUUGAAAGGUCGUGGGUUUGAAUCCCACCUGGGAUG